UACGGAGGGUGCGAGCAUUAAUCGGAUUUAUUGGGCGUAAAGGGCGCGUAGGCGGAUAGAUAAGUCAGACGUGAAAUCCCGGGGCUCAACCCCGGAACAGCAUUUGAAACUAUCUAUCUAGAGGGUAGGCGGAGAAAAUGGAAUUCCACAAGUAGCGGUGAAAUGCGUAGAUAUGUGGAAGAACACCGGUGGCGAAAGCGGUUUUCUAGCUUACUCCUGACGCUGAGGCGCGAAAGCAAGGGGAGCAAACAGG
Molecule: ribosomal RNA, 253 nt
Filed under: uncultured bacterium
Lineage: Bacteria
Description: partial 16S ribosomal RNA
Rfam family: Bacterial small subunit ribosomal RNA
Source: RNAcentral